GAUGAAGAACGCAGCGAGAUGCGAUAAGUAAUGUGAAUUGCAGAAUUCAGUGAAUCAUCGAAUCUUUGAACGCACCUUGCACUCCUUGGUAUUCCGAGGAGUACGCCUGUUCGAGUGUUAUGAAGCUCUCAAAACGCAAUUGGCUUAAAACCUGAUUGUUGUUUUGGAUUUGAACUUUGCCGUGUUACAACGGCUGGUUUUAAAAGCAUUAGCUGGUACUAGAACGAAUUGGUUCUACUCAACGUGAUAAUUAUCUGAUCGUUGAGGACAUUCCUUUCACGAGGAAUGGCCAUAGUAAAUUCAAUGGACUGCUUCUAACUUGGCUUUAAUUCUUAAUUGGAUUAACCACUUUUCAAAUCUGACCUCGAAUCAGGUGGGACUACCCGCUGAACUUAAGCAUAUCAAUAAGCGGAGGA
RNAcentral lists this unclassified non-coding RNA (416 nucleotides) under soil metagenome. RNAcentral describes it as "partial contains 5.8S ribosomal RNA, internal transcribed spacer 2, and large subunit ribosomal RNA". The stretch from base 1 to 120 matches the Rfam family "5.8S ribosomal RNA", at positions 35 to 154 of the family's 154-position model. The record is from RNAcentral.